Molecule: non-coding RNA, 1698 nt
Organism: Elaeis guineensis (African oil palm)
Lineage: Eukaryota; Viridiplantae; Streptophyta; Magnoliopsida; Arecales; Arecaceae
Source: RefSeq, a predicted model, not a curated record
CUACUCGAAUCCGAUGCACACACACUAGAUGACCUAACCACUACCUCAACCAAUAAGCCUAGUUUAUGUCUAUUUUUAACUGGAUUGAUAAUAUAUUCAUACCGUUUAAAUACCCAACUGAAAACCAUAAUCAUCGUCCCAGCUUCCCCGCUCCGAGCCGCCCACCCGAUUGUGAACGGACGAAAAACCGAGGGGAAAACAUCGGAGAAAUUAACGAAAACAAAGGAAAGUCGGGAAAAAAAGGAAUAUGAAAGCUAUAUCUGAGGCAAUUCUAGUGAAAGAAUGAAGGAAAAGAUAAAAAGAAAUUAUUGGAUUGAGAGAAGGGGACAAGAUGAAGAUUUGUUCAAGACUGGUGAUGCUUAAGCUCCAGUCUGCACUGCAAGUGCACAAGUUGAUAGGUUCCAACCGGAAAUAAAAUUUUAAAUUCUGAAUUUAGAGGACUGCCGGAGGAGCUGAAACUUGGUCUGAUACAUGUUUCUGAGGAAGGAUCGUCAAUGGUUCGAGUGAAUGAAGCCCAAGGGUUAAUCCAAGGUUUGCUACCCCCACCCUUUUGCGUGAGCAUCAGAACAAAACCAAAAUGUAAAGGAAAAAGCCUUCUCAGGCCUUUGUAUUAUUAGAAAGAGGGGGGGAGGUGGUGUUGAAUCAGUUCAUAUUGGUGCGAAUUGACUGGUUGUGGUUGGAACCGUCUGGUUUGGAGCAGUUCUCCUCAUUUACUGAAAAAAAGGGCUGAAGCAUCUCGGUACUAUACCGGUUCGGUUUGGUAUGUGCUGAACUGAGCGGUUCAGCAUGCCAUGGGUUAAUCAAUAAUGAGCAAUGGCCUUCUUGUUUAUUCUUUUUGUUGGCGAAACCACUCUGCAUUUAUGUCAGGCUCUAUUAUUCAUACAGUCUCAUAUAAUAUUUUGCUUUUAAAGUGCUUCUAAAAGGUGCGGGCAGCAUCCAACCAAGUAUCAUUAUUAUUUUUUUCUUGUGGUGAAUGCAGGAUAGAGUAACAGAGUGCUACUUAUGGCAUUAAAGUGACACUUGGUGGAGCUUUUCUGCUGAGAUAGUAUUGUGAAGGACUGGAGAAACAUGUCAGGACAGUCAAUAUCAUUACUUGCCCAUUUGAAAGCAAAUCAUUUUUGGGGAUUGAUCUUUAUUGUAUUUGGGUUCAUUUCCUUUGUGGGGUUUUCCUAUGCUGCGAUACUGUCCAAGCUUCUUCCACAAUCUGAAAAUAUAUUUUUAUCUGCCAUUCAGGAUGACAGAUACUACUGCCUACUGGUCCCCUUGACACUACCUAUACUUGUCGUGGCAGUGUACUUUCAUUGGCUCAGCAUGAAGCUCUUCAAGCAUGCAUAAAUUUAGUUCCAUCAGUCCCUGUGAUCAAAGACAAUUUUCUUCCAAUCCACAAAAAUCAAGGAGCUUAACAAGGGACUUUUGGGUGCGGUUAGCAGGAACUCAGCCAUAUCUAGUGGGCCAGGAAUUUCUGCUAGAUCCUGACAUGGAGGAACUAAAAAGCGCCACUGCAGUAGCCAUUCCCAACUAAAAUCCCAAAGAUCUGCACAAUGAAGAUUUGUAAAUUGGAUUUUUCAAAUUUGCAUCUGUAAAUUUUUAGCAUUUUUGCCUAGCAAAAUCAGCACAUUUUGCCAGGUAGAUCUUAUGUCACAUUUUGCAAAACCCUAAUGAGAUUCAACCCAGAUGAGCACACUGAUCUGUUGUAUA